This is a long non-coding RNA of Lotus japonicus, 1676 nucleotides long. RefSeq lists it as uncharacterized. The record is from RefSeq and is a predicted model, not a curated record. The transcript is spliced from 2 exons. NCBI's taxonomy places the organism in Eukaryota, Viridiplantae, Streptophyta, Magnoliopsida, Fabales, Fabaceae.
CCCACAAAAGACAAGGUGAUGAUGAUGGAAUGAUUGUUACAUAUGAAAAGCAACGUGAUGAUGAUGGAAUGAUACUUGCAAAGCCUUCACGAAAAGCAAGGUGAUGAUUACGAGUGUAGGGCUGCUGAUGGCGCACAAAGCACGAGAACAGCACAGAAAUUUUUGGCUGACAGCACACACGGAAGCAUGAGCAGGCACAAAAAUCAAAGGGGAAAAUAAUGGUUGUAUCAGAAAAAAGAGGGAGAGAAAAAGGGUGGCGGCACAGGAAGGUUUGGGGGCUAGGGUUUUCAACCUAAACCUGAUACCAUGUAAGAUUGGAUACUCUCACCACAAAUUGUGUGUGAGGUAGACAAUAUUAUUUAUAAUAAUAAAAUAACAGAAUAUGCUAAGAAUAUUCUGAGGCAUAUUACAAAAUAAAAUAAAUAAUAAUAAAGAAAAUAUCCCGUAGGAUAGUAUGCCUAUUUAUCUCUAAUAGUAACAAUGUAAUUGAAGUAGAGGAUUUGGGAAUAUCUUUACUGGAAAGUUCUGUUAGCAGACAUAGGCACUAGACAGUAGUAACAUUUAAAUAUCUUGUCAACUCAUUUACCUCAACACAAGGAGUUCUGGAUUCAUAACAAUUCACUGGAAAGUUCUGUUAGUAGACAUAGGCACUAGACAAUAGUACCAUUUAAAUGUCUUUUCUAGAAGUACUCCUAGAUUUCUAGGCUACAACUUGAAGUUUAUUAUGUAGAAUUCAGUGUGCAGUUAUUCAAUUACUAUCAACUAUUCUCUGCUCCCGACAAAGCUUGCCUCUUGUUUGGGAAACUUUUUUCUAGGAGUAACAGAUAUCUCUUUGAAUUUACCACAAAUGCUGCAGCAGAUGCAAUCACAACAGCACCUGGAGCGGCUACAACAAGCGCAGCAACUGGUACAACAGCUGCGGCAACUACCUCACUUGCAGCAACAACAACAUCACCAACAGUCGAUAGAACGUGCGCGCGAACUGCUACAACGACAGCAGCGGCUGACACAACAGUUGCGGCAACUUCCUCAAUUGCAGCAAGAACACCAACAACAACGUCCUCACUUGCAGCAGCAACAACAACAACAACUUCCUCACUUUCUGCAAGAACAACAACAACAACUUCCUCCCUUGCAGCAACAACAACCACAAGUCUUUCAACUUCAACAACAAUUCUCGCAGCUGCAGCUUCCACAGUAACAAUAAUUACAUAGCAUCAACUACUUCGUCAGUAGCAACAAAUGGUUGGGGUAGGAAUGGGUCUAAUCUAUGUUCAAUGUCCAGGAACAAGUAAGUCACUAGGAGAACAAACAUUGGUGGUGAAGGGGGUUCAUUAGGAGAACAAACAUACGCGGUUUAUAUUUUGGUUGUAUCGCCAUAUAAUUUCCUCAGCCAAUAUUUCCAUAAAAAACUGAUAGGUCAAUAAGGUCAUACAUACUUAGGCUAUGUUUGGCAUGUUUAGCUGAUAAGCUAGUUGAAAGCUGAAAAGCUAGCUGAAAGCUUAUAAGCUAGCUGAUAGCUGAAAGCUGAUAAGCUAGCUGAAAGCUGAAAAACUAGGUGAUUGAAACAAAAGUGUUUGGUAGAACUAGCUGUUAAACAAGCUGAAAUUGUAAAAUGACAUAAAAGGACAUACUUGUAUAAUUAUUUUUAUAUUUAACAUUACUUUAUUUUCACA